CUGUCCUCUGGUCAUGAUGGGACUGUUUUCUCUAGAACUACCAGUAACUGUGAAUAUUCUUCUGAUGCCCACUUAAAACUGGGCCCACUGGUUUUUAGUUAUGGAGAGUGGAGGACUCAAGAGGCACCCCAAGGAUUUAUAAUCACUGCGAGGGGAAAGGAGCUCAUGAAGUGCCCCCUUUCCCAAGUAUGGAUGUAGUUAACAGCUGCUGGAGGGGACAGGUGAUUUUCUUCAGUGGUGUAACUGCCUCACCUUUUCUGGACAAGAAGACCUUUCUUCAUAUCUCCUCAGAAAAAGUUCACAUAACAGCACCCUUGGUUCAGAGGAGGCACUGAGAAUCCUAGCAUGUGGAGGGGGCAACGCAGGAAAGCUAACUGACUGGACUCUUCCCCCAGCAACCAAUGGUGACUUGGAUAUGUGCAAACUUCAACUUGAAUUAUCUACUUGGCCUCUCAUCUAAUAUGGGCUUCCAGAUUUUUGUUCUGUCUCCACGACUGAGUAUUGAUCAAGUGACUGACUGUUCUGCUGGGGCUAGAGCCCAAGAUCUCCUAUAGGCGCACACUCUAACCACUGAGCAGCAUCAACAGACAUCCUGUCUCUGUAUCUUUCAUCCCCUGAAGUUCAAGCUCUAAGGCAGUAGCUAGAGCCAAUGCUAGUGUCAAUACACGCUGUUUUCUAAGUCUUCCUGGACCAGCAGAUUCUCUAACACAAUCCUCAAUACAGUCAGACCCAGAGGAUUUCCAGAUUCUUCUCUCUAAGCUACAUUUCUGAGGCCUAAUUUGAUGCUUCAAUUUUUCCCAAGAUUAAUUAACCCAGGAAAUAAGAAGAAUAACAACUAUUGAAUAAAAUAGAAAACACAAUAGAACCCAGUGAAUAUAAAGGUGAUUUAUGAACUUUAAAGUCAGGAUAUUAAAAGUCCAGACUUGUAACCUUAAUUCAAUUCUCCUUAGCAGUGGGACCUUCAAUUAAAUUAUCCCAGAACCAGUUGCUACAAACUAUGGUGAAAGUGGAGAAACUCUUCUUCCCCACAGCACGGGGAACUACAGAGCCCUGUAAAGGGAAACUUGCCAAGGGGUGGCCCAUGGGGUGACUGCCUGUGCUGUCUUCACUUUGAACGAACCAUAGGACUCCAUUCUUAAGCAUUCUCCAGUUGCCCUGUGGGAAAAUCGAGUUUUAUUCAUUCUAAGAACAGGUCAGGAGGUUGUAAAUGUAUCAUCUUUCUCACUGGACUUAGUCCUCUUCCCACAGAGAGAUUCCAGCCAAGAAUUUGGGAACGUAGACUGAGAGGUAGAAAUCAUCUACUUUUUAAAACAAAGAGUGUUUUUCAGAAACCAUUGAAGUCAGUUUUUUUUUUUUAACAAUAUCCAUCGAUUGAUGAAUAACCCACCACUCUAAUGUGAACAGCUGCCAACUAUCCCAUCUCCCAAGGAGUCUAAGAACAACAACAACAACAACAACAAAAGAAUAUGAGGAGACAGGUCAGUAAGGAGGACCAAAACACGGCAGGACAAAACAAUUCUUUAUGUAUGCACUGUAAGUGAGCAGAGACAACUGACAUGUCAAGGGUCAGCACUCUUGCUAGGAUGUGUGAGAGAAAUAACAGAGAGUCUGAGAUGAUGGCAUAAGGCAUACGCUGGUCAUGAAGGGACACUUGUAAACUCUGCUCAUAUGUUCUGUACUAAGACUUGUCUCUCUUGUUCUCAGAUGAUGACAUAUAUGGAAGUAAAGUGACUUGUGCAAUAGCAACAAAAGAAUCAAAUGACAGAGCCUACAGCCUUUCUACCACAUUGUGCUGUCUCAAAAGUCUUACUUUCCACUACCAUACAGUUCUAGUGCUCCUGACCUGGGUGCAAUGCAGACAUAAGGAGCAAGAGUCUAUGGGGAUUUUGAAUAUUUCAACUGAUUGUUAUUAUCAACUUGUCAUUUAUUUUGUUGGCACAAAUACAGCCUUAGAAGGUCAGACAUGGGAAGAUGUAAGUAGUUUUAUGGACACUGUGCUGUCUGUCCUCCUGAUGACACGGUGCUGAAAACUAUGGAAAUGAAAUCUCCUUUGGGAUCUAACUGCAGCAUAGCAUCUCCUUAUUUGGUACAGGAAGGCUUUCUUUAGUGAGUCCAUGGGAAUAUGGAUAGCAGGAUACAAGGAAGCAUUCACAUCUGCUUCCAUAACAAUUUCUUUUUAGUAAAGUCAUGCAUGCCAAAUAUGUUUAAGACUCAUUGUGGAUAAUUCUUCAUACAGGGGAAUACAAGUUUAACUAGGGAAAAAAACACCACUAGGAAAUCACAGAGGAAGUGUUAGCAGAGCACACAAGCUACUAGACCAGCCUGAAGUCACAACCGUGCCUGAUAAUUGUGAGGCUUCUAUAGUCUUCUACCAGGAGUAAGCAAUGGCAUUUAUUUACAUAAGCUCUUUUAGAGAACUAUGGGUGUCAAAAGGCAAGCAGGAGGCAGUCUAACAGCUGCAGAAAGAUCAUGGACACUGCAUAAGGUAUUCUCUGUACAUCUAACUCAUUAUUCAAAAAUAUUACUUAGGUUCAAAGGAAGAUAGCAAUUGUAUGAUUAACUAACAUGUUUCUAAGACUUAAAAGCA
Peromyscus eremicus (cactus mouse) is the source of this 2587-nucleotide long non-coding RNA. RefSeq lists it as uncharacterized. Lineage: Eukaryota; Metazoa; Chordata; Mammalia; Rodentia; Cricetidae. The transcript has 3 exons. The record is from RefSeq and is a predicted model, not a curated record.